This 454-nucleotide ribosomal RNA is filed under the name uncultured bacterium. Its description in RNAcentral is "bacterial SSU rRNA". It matches the Rfam family "Bacterial small subunit ribosomal RNA", at positions 340 to 786 of the family's 1533-position model. The record is from RNAcentral.
UACGGAAGGCAGCAGUGGGGAAUAUUGCACAAUGGGCGCAAGCCUGAUGCAGCCAUGCCGCGUGUAUGAAGAAGGCCUUCGGGUUGUAAAGUACUUUCAGUCGUGAGGAAGGUGUUAAGGUUAAUAACCUUAGCAAUUGACGUUAGCGACAGAAGAAGCACCGGCUAACUCCGUGCCAGCAGCCGCGGUAAUACGGAGGGUGCGAGCGUUAAUCGGAAUUACUGGGCGUAAAGGGCACGCAGGCGGUUAAUUAAGUUGGAUGUGAAAUCCCCGGGCUUAACCUGGGAAUGGCAUUCAAGACUGGUUAGCUAGAGUCUUGUAGAGGGGGUAGAAUUCCAUGUGUAGCGGCGAAAUGCGUAGAGAUGUGGAGGAAUACCGGUGGCGAAGGCGGCCCCUGGGACAAAGACUGACGCUCAUGUGCGAAAGCGUGGGGAGCAAACAGGGAUUAGAUACC